AGUAAAUAGAUACCCCGGUAGUCCACGCCGUAAACGAUGUCGACUUGGAGGUUGUGCCCUUGAGGCGUGGCUUCCGGAGCUAAACGCGUUAAAGUCGACCGCCUGGGGAGUACGGCCGCAAGGUUAAAACUCAAAUGAAUUGACGGGGGCCCGCACAAGCGGUGGAGCAUGUGGUUUAAUUCGAUGCAACGCGAAGAACCUUACCUACUCUUGACAUCCAGAGAACUUAGCAGAGAUGCUUUGGUGCCUUCGGGAACUCUGAGACAGGUGCUGCAUGGCUGUCGUCAGCUCGUGUUGUGAAAUGUUGGGUUAAGUCCCGCAACGAGCGCAACCCUUAUCCUUUGUUGCCAGCGGUUAGGCCGGGAACUCAAAGGAGACUGCCAGUGAUAAACUGGAGGAAGGUGGGGAUGACGUCAAGUCAUCAUGGCCCUUACGAGUAGGGCUACACACGUGCUACAAUGGCGCAUACAAAGAGAAGCGACCUCGCGAGAGCAAGCGGACCUCAU
Molecule: ribosomal RNA, 506 nt
Filed under: uncultured bacterium
Lineage: Bacteria
Description: bacterial SSU rRNA
Rfam family: Bacterial small subunit ribosomal RNA
Source: RNAcentral